RNAcentral lists this long non-coding RNA (1563 nucleotides) under Homo sapiens (human). RNAcentral describes it as "CDKN2B and CDKN2A antisense cis and trans regulatory RNA 1, transcript variant 30 (CDKN2B-AS1)". The stretch from base 541 to 684 matches the Rfam family "CDKN2B antisense RNA 1 convserved region 3". The record is from RNAcentral. Lineage: Eukaryota; Metazoa; Chordata; Mammalia; Primates; Hominidae.
AGCUACAUCCGUCACCUGACACGGCCCUACCAGGAACAGCCGCGCUCCCGCGGAUUCUGGUGCUGCUCGCGUCCCCGCUCCCCUAUUCCCCUUAUUUUAUUCCUGGCUCCCCUCGUCGAAAGUCUUCCAUUCUUCAAACUAGAUUAUUUAAAAAUGAAAAAGGAAGAAAGGAAAGCGAGGUCAUCUCAUUGCUCUAUCCGCCAAUCAGGAGGCUGAAUGUCAGUUUUGAACUAAAAGCCGCUCCGCUCCUCUUCUAGAUUUGGAAAACAAGCGAAAUUAAACUAAACCGCUGCACGCCUCUGACGCGACAUCUGGACACGGCGCGGCGCUGGCGCUGCCGGAGCUGUCGACCCGGCCUGGCGCCGGACUAGGACUAUUUGCCACGACAUUUCAAAGGAUUCCAAGAGAGAAUAUUGGUGUCCAUGCUGUGAUGAUUCCUCAGCUCCUCUCAUCUGAUCUCCGUCCUGGCCCCCAUGACUUUCUUUGUGGUAGUUAGGGUGUGGUAUGUGCCACUGAGGCCCACACCUAUUGCUUGUCCCUUUUGAUGAGAAGAAUAAGCCUCAUUCUGAUUCAACAGCAGAGAUCAAAGAAAAGACUUCUGUUUUCUGGCCACCAGAUAUAUGUUAUCUGUGCUUAAAGAAUUGAAAAACACACAUCAAAGGAGAAUUUUCUUGGAAAGAGAGGGUUCAAGCAUCACUGUUAGGUGUGCUGGAAUCCUUUCCCGAGUCAGUACUGCUUUCUAGAAGAAAACCGGGGAGAUCUAUUUGGAAUGUAUCUAACUCCAAAGAAACCAUCAGAGGUAACAGUAGAGACGGGGUUUCACCAUGUUGGCCAGACUGGUCUUGAACUCUCGACCUCGUGAUUCGCCCGCCUCGGCCUCCCAAAGUGCUGGGAUUACAGGUGUGAGACACCACACCCGGCGGAUAGAGAGAAUUUUGACAGAUUGGCUUCUCUCACAUGGCAAGAAACAUUGCUGCUAGCACUUCCCGAGUUCUACGUUCUACAACAUCCACCACUGCUAUGUCUCACAGUCCAGACUUGGAGUACAAGUAAUAAGAAGAAUAAAACUUAAUCCCUUAAGUAGAUUCACCAUAAGUUAGCUCAGAGCAAUUCCAGUGCAAGUAUGGUCUGUGAUCCAGUAGUAUCUUACAGACAGCAAGUUGAACAUUGUGGGAUGCAUGAGCUAUUGAGGCCUUUGCAGCUUUCUGCUACAUGGAGGCUAGGGCCAGAGUCAAGAUUUAUGCUUUGCAGCACACUGGUCAGCUGUUUUUGCAAAUCAGAUUAAAUGAUUUUUAAAUGAGGCUGAGAGCAUGGGAGAUACUAAUGUGUGUUUCCUUGUGAGCUACUGCAUAAGUUAGGAAAUUGAAAUACAGAAAGAUGAAAAGUGAUUUGCCCAAGCAUAUAGAUCAAAGCUGUGGCAGAACCAGGACUGGAACCUAUAUCUCUCUACUAAUGGUUUUUUUAAAAAAAUAACCUUGUUUCAAAAAUAUUAAAAAGUCACAAGAAAGGUAAACAUGUGGAUAAACAAAAUGAAGAAAAUAAAAAUUAUCCAGUAAUAACAUA